GGCUUUUCUUUCUUGGGAGAUUUUUGAUUACUGAUUCAGUCUCCUUAUACAUUAUUGGUCUGCUGAGAUUUUCUAUUCUUCAUAAUUUAAUUUUGGUAGGUGGUAUGUUUCUAGUAAUUUGUUCAUUUCUUAUAAGUUAUCUAAUUUAUUGGCAUAUAAUUAUUCAUAGUUGUCUCUUAUGAUCUUUUGAAUUUCCGUGGUAUGAGUUGUAAUGUCUCUUCUUUAAUUUAAAAUUUUACUUGAAUUCUCUCUUUUCCUAAAUUAGUCUAGCCAAGGGUUUGUCGACUUUCUCUUUUCAGAAAACCAACUCUUAGUCUCAUUGAUCUUUCUACUGUUUUUCUAUAAUAGUCUCUAUUUUCUCUAUUUUAUUUUUCCUGCUCUAAUUUUUGUUAUUUUCUUCCUUUGCUAACUUGAGGCUUGGCCUAUUAUUCUCUUACCUCCUUGAGGUAUAAAGUUAGGUUGUUUAGUUGAGAUAUUUCAUUUUUCUUAACGUAAGUUUUUUGAUUUUUUGCUUGUUUGUUUUUAAGACAGGGUCUUGCUCUGUUGCCCAGGCAGAAGCACAGUGAUGUGAUCAUGGCUCACUGCAGCCUCAACCUCCUGAGCUCAAGUGAUCCUUCCAUCUCAGCCUCCCAAGUAACUGGGACCACAGGCAGAUGCCACCAUGCCCAGUGACUCCGUUCACAUGCUCCCGUCUUGUCAUCAAGCCCUGUUCAUCUCUCACCAUCUCUCACCUGGACCAUUGCCAGUUUCUGAGCUGCCUGCUCUUGAAUACCAGCUUCCUGAAAAUAUCACCAAAACGAUCUGGUCCUCAGACAAAGCAGAGUCUAUUGCUCACUGCAGUAACAGAGAGCUCCGUCUUCAGAGUCUUGGUAACAUUUCGCUGAGAGGACAACCCAAUCACACUGUUUAGGAGAUUUUGGAUUCUGACUAAGGUGCCUGGAGCAAAAAUGUGUCCAGAAUUGGUGGGUUGUUGGUCUCGCUGACCUCAAGAACGGAGCCGUGGACCCUCGCGGGAAAAUACUAAAUUGCGCAUUGUAGCAGAGGGAAACAAGCUGGUGGUGGGAGCGGAUAGAAGAAAAUGAAGACGGCUCCAAACCUGGGGAGCGCGCAAGAAGAUGACACAAACUUUUGAAAUAACAUGAACACGGACAAGGGGAGUCAGAGGCAGAAGAGAAGGUGUUGUGAUGACAGAAGCAGAGAUCUGAGUGACUCACUUUGAAGAUGGAGGAAGAGGUCACAGGCCAAGUGAUACAGAUGCCAGGAGAAGCUGAAAACAGGAGGAAAUGGAUUCUUCCCUCAGAGCUUCUGGAAAAGAUCAGUCUUGCUGAUAACUUGACUUUAGCCCACUGAAACUGAUUUUGAACUUUUGACUUCCAGAACUACAGGGUCUCAUUAUUGUUGCCCAGACUCAUCUCAAACUC
This 1421-nucleotide long non-coding RNA is filed under the name Homo sapiens (human). Its description in RNAcentral is "HSALNT0352884". The record is from RNAcentral. Lineage: Eukaryota; Metazoa; Chordata; Mammalia; Primates; Hominidae.